Pseudophryne corroboree (corroboree frog) is the source of this 638-nucleotide long non-coding RNA. RefSeq lists it as uncharacterized. Lineage: Eukaryota; Metazoa; Chordata; Amphibia; Anura; Myobatrachidae. The transcript is spliced from 4 exons. The record is from RefSeq and is a predicted model, not a curated record.
GUGACUUAAUUAGCACGUUAGUCAAUUUGAUUUAACGUCUGUGCUGAGCCAUGGAUAUACCUAACACCUGGACUGUUGGGUGCCUUGAGAACAGCGCUUCAGAACUUCUAGUUUAGGGAUUGUGCGGAUAGAAUGCAGCACAAUAUCUCAGUUUUAUAUAUACAUCCACUGCUAUAUGUGCUCCAGUCCAACCUUCUCCCUGACACUGAGAGUGGCUUCACUGGGCUGCAAACCAGGGAAUCAGUCCCACCAGUUCCCAGCUGCCUCCAUAAGUGCUGUACAGAUAUAGUGGCAGUUGACAGUCCCGUCGGUAGUGAGAAGAAAUGACGGAGAUUUCGCCUACACACGUACAGAUGAAAGGAAAAGACCUAGAAAUGAACAAAGCAACAGACUAGCGUAAGGUGUCCAAGAAGACAGGCGUGUGGCUGACACUCACCGCUUGCAGCAGCACAGCAGAGACAGCUCAUCCACCUCUCUGUAACGUGUCGGCAAGUCCUUACACUCCGACACAAAGGUGCGCAGCUCGGUCUCCGGGAAACCGUCUCUCUGGUAUCGGUUAUCAGCGCGAUGAACAGACUGAGCACCAUGUAGAUAAACAGACUGAUGAAGGAGUAGAGGUAGACGCGGCUGAACAGCCA